AUUGAACGCUGGCGGAAUGCUUUACACAUGCAAGUCGAACGGCAGCACGGACUUCGGUCUGGUGGCGAGUGGCGAACGGGUGAGUAAUGUAUCGGAACGUGCCCAGUCGUGGGGGAUCACGUAGUGAAAAUUACGCUAAUACCGCAUACGAUCUAUUGAUGAAAGAGGGGGAUCGCAAGACCUCGCGCGAUUGUAGCGGGGGAUAUCAGAUUAGGUAGUAGGUGGGGUAAAGGCCCACCAAGCUAACGAUCUGUAGCUGGUCUGAGGGGACGACCAGCCACACUGGAACUGAGGCACGGUCCAGACUCCGACGGGAGGCAGCAGUGGGGAAUUUUGGACAAUGGGCGAAAGCCUGAUCCAGCCAUUCCGCGUGCAGGAUGAAGGCCCUCGGGUUGUAAACUGCUUUUGUACAGAACGAAAAGGUUUCUACUAAUACUAGGAGCUCAUGACGGUACUGUAAGAAUAAGCACCGGCUAACUACGUGCCAGCCGCCGCCGUAA
RNAcentral lists this ribosomal RNA (500 nucleotides) under uncultured bacterium. RNAcentral describes it as "partial 16S ribosomal RNA". It matches the Rfam family "Bacterial small subunit ribosomal RNA", at positions 30 to 523 of the family's 1533-position model. The record is from RNAcentral.